UGGAAAAACGGGAUCCCCUGGAAUUCCGUGUUGCUUUUCCUUAGGAACAACCCCAAACCCCGCCCACCCCAUGGAAUUCCAUCCCAAAUUCGGGAAUUCCUUCCCCCAAAAUCCCACAGAACCUCUGGCAGCUCCUCCUUUCCUACAUCCAAAUAAAAUCCUUUAUUUCCCUUGGAUUUGAGACCACCUGGAAUUAUUCCAAAAGCUCCUUUCCCAGGAAUCCCAAAUCCUCCAUUCCUUGGGAAUUCCCUUGGAUUUGGUUUUUUUCCCCAGAAUUUUUCCCUCCUUUUCCAGCUGGAACUCAAAGAUUUAAGGCUGGGAGGGAUUUUUCCCAAAUUUCCCUGAAUUCCUGCUCCUUUUCCUGGAGGAAAAUUAGGAAGGAGAUGCCCCAAAAAAACCUGGAAAAGGGAAAUUCCUGAUAAAAAAGAAGCAAGAAAUGUUCCUGGAUUUUUCACAAAUCCUGGAAUUUUCUGGAGUUUUUUUCCUGGAUCUUUCCAAAUCCUGGAGAUUUUUCCCAGAUCUCUCCAAUUCCUUGAACUUUCCGGGAGAUUUUUCCCAGGUUUUUCCAAAUCCUGGAACUUUCCUGGGGCUUUUUCCUGGAUCUUUCCAAACCCUGGAGAUUUUUCCCAGAAUUUCCCAAAUCCUGGAAUUUUCCUGGAGCUUUUUCCUGGAUCUUUCCAAACCCUGGAGAUUUUUCCCAGAAUUUCCCAAAUCCUGGAACUUUAUUGGAGAUUUUUCCCAAAGUUUUCCAAAUCCUGGAGAUUUUCCAAGAUUUCUGCAAAUCCUGGAACUUUCCUGGAUCUUUUUCCCAGAUUUUUCCCAAAUCCUUUUGGUUUUUUUCCCAGAUUUUUCCAAAUCCUGGAACUUUCUUGGAGAUUUUUCCCAAAUCCUGGAGAUUUUUCCCAGAUCCUGGAACUUUCCUGGUGUUUUUUCCAGAUUUUUCCAAAUCCUGGAGAUUUUUCCUAGAUUUUUCCAAAUCUUGGAGUUUUUCAUGGAUUUUUCCCAAAUCCUGGAGAUUUUUCCCAGAUUUCUUCAAAACCUGGAGUUUUUCCCUGGAUUUUUCCCAAUCCAGCUUUUUUUGAGCUCUCUCUGCUGCUUCCAGGGAAAUUCCAGAGCUUGGGAAUUUCCUUUUCCUGCCCUUUCCAGAUCCAGGAAAAUCCACAAUCCCACAGGAUGGGGAAUGGGAUCUGAAUCCCUGAAUUUCCCUCAAAAUCCUGGAAUUCCCGAGGCAAAAUUCCAUCCAAAUUCCACAACCUGGCCUUGGACACUUCCAUGGAGCCGGAAAAAUCCCAAUCCCAAUAAAAACCCCAAGGAAAAUCCAGGAUUUUUCCACUUUAUUCAUCAAUUUCUCUCAUUCUUGGUGUUUAUGAGAAUGUUUUUCCCAAAUUUCCAAGGGUUUUCAUCCCAAAUUUCCUUUUCCUGGUUAAAUAUUUAUGGAUUUGCACAAUUUCUCUAAAAUCUGAUUCAGCUCCUGGAAAUCCAGGCUGGAAAAAUAUGGAAAAAAAUCCCAGGAAAAUCGGGAUUCAAAGGAAUCAGGAAUUCCUGAUUUUCCUCAUUCCCAUCCUGGAAUUUUCCAGCCAUUUCAGAGGGGAAAAAAAAGAAAAAAAUCAACAAAAAAUCCCAAAUCCAAGAGGUUUCAGAGCAAAAUUCCAGCUUUUCCAAAGGAAUUUUUUUGGGGAAUUCCUCAAAAAAUCUUCUGGAUCGGGAAUUCCCAAGCCUGGCUGGGGUGGGAAUGGAAAAUUCCAGAAAAAAAAUGGGAAUUUUUUUGAUGGGAAAGAAGAAAUUUGUAGCUCCCUCGGAGGAUUUUCACCCUUUGGAGAAAAGGAGGAAGGAAAAAUCUGGGAAUUCUCAACAUUCCCCCUCGUCUGCAGGUCAGAAAAAUCCGGAAUUCUGGGAAUUCCUUGGAAAACUGAGAUUUCCAUGGAAAAUCCCUUCCCAUCAACUCCUUCCCAAGGCUUUGCUGGAGGGAAAAAUGGGAAUUUUCAGGAUUUAAACCACCCAAAUCCUGAAUUUUUUGGGGGAUCAUUCCUUCUGGAAAAAUGUGGAAUCCUCUGGAUUUAUCCCGAUUUUCCCAUAUUUUUUCUUUUCAUUCAUGGCUCUGUGGAACCCUCAGGAAAAUCCAGGAGAAGCUUCCUCAGGGAACUGGGAAAUUCCCAAAAAUUCCCCAAAUUUUCCACGAAAACAUUCCCAAGAAAUCAACAGGAAAAACCCCCAAGCGUGGUCGGCACCUCCAGGAGUGUCCAAGUCUCUGAAUUCCCAAAAAAUUCCUAAAAAAUGGCAAAAUUUGGGAUAUUCCGGUUGGGGAAUCUUCUGGAUAUUCCCAAAUAUUCCCAAAUAUUCCCGAAUUUCAGUAAAUUUUCUGCCUGCUGGGCAGGAUGGCUUCCUUGAUGAAGGAGAAAAUCAGGAGAAUCCCGGAGCGUUUCCCUCUUUUCCCCUUGGUGAAAUAAUUGGAGACG
Junco hyemalis (dark-eyed junco) is the source of this 2456-nucleotide long non-coding RNA. The record is from Ensembl. NCBI's taxonomy places the organism in Eukaryota, Metazoa, Chordata, Aves, Passeriformes, Passerellidae.